Molecule: long non-coding RNA, 814 nt
Organism: Rosa rugosa (rugosa rose)
Lineage: Eukaryota; Viridiplantae; Streptophyta; Magnoliopsida; Rosales; Rosaceae
Exons: 4
Source: RefSeq, a predicted model, not a curated record
AGUAUUCUUUGCCUCAAGUGGGAAGGAGUUGGGAAAGUGGAAAUCCCCAUGAGGCUGUAGAUUUCUGGGGUUUGACCAAAACCAAGGGGAAGAGAGGGUUUGGAUAGAUUUAGUGAAGAGGUUGACGUUGAGAAGGUUCUUUGAUUUCUGGACCUCCCACAAAGAGUUUGCCCCUUUGAUUGACCAAGUUUUGAGCAAAAUAUAACACCUCUUGCAGACAUAAGUUGUUGACCAAUCCACUGCAGUAGAAGAAAGUCUACUGGUCGAAAUGAUUUAUGUAUUGAAUAUACGCCUAAAAUAGUGCAAAACCAUGGUAUUAGUCAAGAAAAACAUCGUGCUACAUCAAGCUUCAACAAAGGAAAUUCUCAACGCAAGCUAGAUCAAGAGAUUUUCGAUCGAACCAGAUUUAAGCCAUCAAACAACCAAAGAAGUUUGUGCAGUAAUGAUGGCAAAUGUUUAGAAAACUUGAUUACAGCAGGGAUUCCACUUUACAGGAGAGCUCAGAAGCAACAGUCUAUGCAAUCUUCUGCACAACUGUUGGUUAUUUUCAUCAGAGUGUUAGGCUUCAAUGGCUAACACAUAUACACAAUUGUUUAUUGACAUAACAUUUCCUUUAUUUCAAUUUGCUGCCAUUUGCUCCAUGUUAAUGCUCAUCAAAUCAUCAAGUUGUUGACAAGUUAAUUUCAUUGAUAAACAACUUUCUUUGAUGAUGGAAAAAGAAGUUUGCAGCUGCCGAAGAUAAAUGCUAUUUUGUAUAUAGCAAAACGUUGAAGCAAGAGCCAAGGGAUAACAAAGCGCGGGCGCUGUUGCUAGU